CAGUUUAUAGCUUAUUUAAAGUGUGUUGUUUACAUCAAUAGGAAAUAUUUAAUUAUUAAUCUGA
RNAcentral lists this transfer RNA (64 nucleotides) under Bothrogonia yunana. Its description in RNAcentral is "tRNA-Val". Lineage: Eukaryota; Metazoa; Arthropoda; Insecta; Hemiptera; Cicadellidae. The record is from RNAcentral.